CAGAGGGGACAUUCUCUUUAGCGAUGCUUUAUAACAGAAUUCCCCAUUCACCCCUCCUGUAGCUCUCUCCUCUGACUCCUGCCCCUUUGUCCGCUAGCGUCAGGGACCCAAUACCCCGGGACUUGACUCCUUGGCAACAGCUCCACAAUGUUACCGUUUGGGUACCUCACGACCGGAAGUGGCUGCGCCUGGCGCAUGCUGGGAAAUGUAGUUCAGCUUUCCCAUGGUCCCUGGACUGGUCCAAUUGCUCGGCCUCUUCCGACUGUAGAACGAAAGGCCAGGGGCACGUGGAGGGGCUGUUCUGAAGCCACAGGUGUGGGCGUAGCCUGCGCACGGUCACAAGCAGGCCUAGGCCAAGACGGUCCCAGAGCCGAGCCUGCUGAUCUCUAGCCUGGCCAGUCUCCGUGGCAACCGGCUUGCCGCUGAGAACUCUGGGAAUUGUAGUUGGAAGGGAGCCGGGCCCGCGCCCAGAGAGCCGAGCGGUUGCCGUUAGCGCUCGCCACCGGCCACUGCAGGCCACAGACCGGCACAGUGGUCAGAGCGAGUGCGCCCCUUUGGACGGUGAGGAUAGUCUGGCGUCCCGGGAGAUAGCCUCCUGCGUUACUUCGGCCGGCGACCCGGGUUGGAUUCGCGGGAAGCCGGGCCGCAGGAACCCGAGACGCUGCGCCUCUGCGUGGAUCCGGACCCGCCCCCUCCUGGCCUGGGGCGCCCGCCUCCCUCCGCUCGGCUCGGCUCGGCUGGGCUCGGCUCCCUAGGAAUGUGUUUGGCUGGAGUUUGACGCAGAGUCACAGAGUAGAUCCUAGUGAUCAGCGUGGGGCCACAGACUGGGUCAGAGUGGAGACUUUAUAUUUCAUCUAGCCCAGUCCUCUUCUGUUAGAAAAGAGGGAUCCGAGGCCAGAGAUAGGCAAUGGCUAGUCCAAAAUCGAGGGUCCAGACCAUGGCUGCCUGCUCGCCCCUUCAUUUCUAGCACAAAGCACAAUGCCUGGCACAGAACGGGCGCUCAAACCUUUGUCAAGUGUCAUGUCAUCUUGAGGACAGACAUCUGAAAUACUUCAACAAAUAAAUUACAAGGUUUUAAAAAAAUUUUUUUAAAGAAGAAAGUGGACCUGUAGAUUAAAAGACUUACCAGCCAAACACAACGUUGUAGGCCUUAUUUGGACCAUGAGUCUAACAGCCAUUUAUAGAGCUGCCAGGUUUCUUCAUUGGCUCCAGAACAAGAAUUUUUCUAGGGUAAAUGUCACCUCCACAAUGAGCACAAGAAUCCCCACAUAUCACCACCUUCAGCCAGUUGAGACCCUGUUCAAACGUGAAUCCUGAGAGCGCCCCCUUCCAAGCCAGUGGUGAAAAGCUGGAACCCCCAGGGUCCUUGUUCCUUUUUCAUGGGUCCUGCUGUGUUGCAGAGCAGGCAGAACGUCGCAGCUUACAGAUCCGCAUUGGAGCCACGUGUCGUCAGCAGACUAGUAUGAGAGCUCGGAAAGUCCAGAACCCAGAAGUACGCCAAGGAGAGUGACAGUCUCCUCUCAGCUGCCCAGGGGGAUCCGGGCCACAGCUGAGCUCCUUCAUUCCCGGAGUGUGCACUGUGCAUGAUGUUUGCUCUUUUGAAUUGUGGUGUGGCAGCUUUUUAGCCAAACUGCACUUUAUUGACAAUAACAUCACAUCUUCAUCUUUCCUUCAUAAAGCCUGGCCACAGGAUUUGAAGGGAACCUGUGAGAGAUCAAGCCCCUUUGUGGGAUGUACCGGGGCCUGAUGCAGGGAGAAACGGGGUUGGAGAAUCAAGGGAGCAGACCCGAUGAGGCAUCACCCCAAUCCCAGAGGAGGAGUGGCAGCGGGAGAGGUGGGCUGUGCUUCUGUCUCUCCCUCAAGAGGAGUCAUUACCUCGCUGUUUCUUUUUGCUAUAAAUUCUCAGAUCUGGGUGACUACAUUCCUUUAUAACAGGACUAUUCGCAUUCAUUGCAAAGCCAAAUGCCAACACCACGGAGCUGCUGUGUGCCCACGGAUCUCGCACGAGGAACCAAGAGUUGACUCCACAGUUGUGGACAUGUCCGUGACAGCCUGCAUCAGGGAGAUGUAAGCUUCCUUCUCUCUACAGUGUGGUCUGACUGCGAGCUGCCACUCUGAAAGAACUGACACUCUGGACAACUUCUAGAGUCUCCUGUCACCAUUGGUAUCCAUGGGACAUAGAAAUAGGGGGAGGCCAGAGGCAGAAUGACACUCAUCUGGUGCCUGCCAGAGCAGAGGGAUGGGUUGUUAAAGUAUUGAGAUGCUUCUGCUCUGUGCUCCCGAGCACCCUGCCAGCCACCUGGGUCACCCCAGCUACCUGCCCCCCACCCCUCAGGACCACUCCAGGAUCCAGCAUGUAAUGAUUAUCUCCUGGUCCGAUGAGAGGCCUCCAGGCCCCAGGACCAGCAUCUCUUCUAACCGGCCAGUGUUUGGGCCCUGGCAGUUGUUAAGGGGUUUGGCAUCUGCCUUGGCCUCAGCCACCCACACACACACAGGACAGUGAAAAGAUGCAGGUCCCAGCUCCACUGCAUACUAGCUGUGCACUCUUGAAUCUUGGACAAGUCCUUUCACUUCUCUGAGCCUCAGUUUCCUCAUCUGCAAGCAUCAAAUAAAAUAAAAGAUGAGGAAGUACUAAACCACAGGGUGCUUACAUCUCUAAGUUGCUGUUUUGCUUAUCGUUUAUGAUGCAUGUGAUGACAUCAGGACUGAGAACAAGAAGUUCAUCUCCAAUCAGGAACUUUCUGAAAGGUGAUCCCAUGAGUGACCUCAGGCAGACCAUUUAGGGAAGUUCUGCGGACAAGGCUGAGAGACACCACAGAAUGUUCCAGUACCUUCGAGCAGCAUCAGGGAGCUUCUCAGAGAGGAGGCUGAGCAGCUCCUGUUCCCAAGAGAAGAGUUUCAAGCAGGAGAGAGGAACGAUACAUGCCAGACUUAAAGCUUUUUGAAGAAGAACCACGUCUGUCCUUUGGAUUCUCCACAGCUCCUUUGAACGUCGGGAUGCUCAGGAGCUCCGCGUGGAUUGGCCGCGACGCAGCAGCCUAAGCAGACGGGUUUGUGGCUCGGGGUUACCUUUGCCUGAGCACUGGAGCCUGCCUUCUCCGGGACGGUCGUUGGUUGGUGGUUCUCUUCAAGGUCACACGGAGAAGAUCUAGUACUUAUGGCCACUCCUUCCUCCCUAGCCCACCCCACCAGGCAGGCCACCCAGAUUAGCUCCGAUGACCAACCGUAAGGUGGCAAAUGCUUUGUCCCCGUGCCUCAGCUCUGCCUGAGAGAAGUCGCUAGUUGCCAUGCAUUGUGCCGAGCCCUGGGAGGGACCUUGGGAGGGGGAGGCAGGGAACAUGCCAGAAAUCAGUAUUGCUGCAGAGCUGUGCAUUCACAGGGUCCUGGCUACAUACAACUGGCUCAGGGACCACCCUCAGUGUGAACUUGGAGCUCUUUGAAGGCAAGGCCUGUGUCUUAGCCCCAUCUGUGUCUUCACAGUGCCUGACCCAACAUCCAGCACGUAGUCCAUAGGCAUCAGUAUCUACUGAGUGAAUAACUGCGCCACAGUGACCAAGCAUCCAAGGAUUUCAUGGAGGUAACAAGGAGAACAGACAUUAGUGACUGUGCUGGAAUGUCCCACCUGUGCCUUUCCUAGCCCCGGUGAGCCCCUCAUCCCACUGGUGCAUGGCUAAGUUUGGGGUCCCAAGCACAAAGUACAGAAAAGGCCCCUUACUUUUUGUUAGUUGCAAAAUCUCGAUCUCCCCUGAAAAAAUGGGAACAAAUUCUGGGUAUAUACCCAGGGUUUUACAUAGCCUUCGAGCUUUCUUCCAACUUGCUUUAAAAGCUAGUGAGUCAACUACAUUCAUGGUAGGGCCACUAAGAGCUAUUCUGUAGUGUUGGCACAGCCCACAAGAACUGCAUGCCCAAGGGACCCAGGUCUUCCUCCACGCAGCCCACCCUUGACUUGGUGAACAUGCCAUCAGGUCAGUGAGUGUGCAGGACAGAAGGAAAGGGAGUGUCCUAGCCUGCCACCUCUUCGUCUGCUACCAGAGGCCUACGUGCUCCCCACUCCUCUCCGGGACACAAGAGACAGCCAGUCACCGGCUUCGUGUGCUCCAGUCCUGGAAGUUUACAGCCAGUCUGCAGAAUGCCCUCUCGAAUCAUUCCUCCAAGGCCAAACUGGAUAAGAAAUGGCAAAGACAAGUGGAGGAGACAGAAAUGGAUAACAGGGAGAGCCACUAGAGCAGCAGAGGACUGGAGGCAUGUGACCCUAACCUGGGCACUCCCGGGAGUGGCAAGGGUCAUUCCAAAGAGCGGUACAGGCACCUAGGAAAUCACUCAAGAAACUGGGUCUAGGUGGAAAGCUGUAAAGUAGAGACGUACUCUCACCCCAUUCCCGCUCCCAUCAAAGAGGACACCAGGAAAGUCCCCCCAGAACAGCCACGCCAGUAUCUUGACGCUCCUUAACUGGUUCCGUAACUGGCUAAGUAACUUGCCUAAGGUCACGCAACUAAUAAGCAGAGGAGCAGGGAUUCAAAUCCAAAUCUGCCCUUUGCCCAUGCUUUUAAUAGCUCUAAGUUUUUCCAUUGCAGGAUUUUUAAUUCCAUUUGCUGGGCUAACUGGCCUGUUUUCUCCGUGUGUUAUGUGGCCAUGUUGAAAUGGUCCUGUUUCCGCAGUCCCUUCUUCAGCCUGUCAAAGCCACAGGAAAGGUUCCUAACAGACCGAUCGCAAGGAACACUUGCGACCCCUAUUGAAACCACGUUCAUGAGAGACGUCAAGCUGUCGACUGGCAGUCGCUGGAAUUUCUGCUGUGGAAAUCGGGGGAGAUUCUCAAGUCAAGGCGGAUUUAAGAAUCUGUGGUUAUGCUCUCAAGUCCAUAAGUCAGGAUUUACAAUUUAUUUCUGCUCCACUAUGUCUGGGGCUUCAACUGGAGUAGCUGGGAUAGCAGGUAGUGGCCGGGAUGGCCCGACUGGGGCUCUGUGCCCGGGCCUUGGUUCUAUCUGCCAGCUUCUUCUUCAACUCCUUUCCCAUGGGAUCUGGUGGGGCUGAAAUGUCCAAAAUGACUUUUCCCUCAUGUGUGUGGUGCCUCAUGUUCUUCCGUGUGGCCUCUCUCUCCAGCAGAGUAGGCCGUCUUCUUGUGUCAGUGGCAGGCCCAUAAGAGCCCUCUGUCAAUGCUCCGCUCCAUGGUGCCAUCCCUGUGCUACCCACAGCCCCUUCUGUGGGAACUGCUGCCAGGCGGCUGUGUUGUACACGUGAUGCUGCCUCUGUGCCCUCCCCACCCUGACACAAAGCUCAUUGGACCAGACCAGGGUCCAAUAUAGGCUGGCCAAUGACUCUUGAAGUCGUCUGGCACAAAAGCAUAAAGAAAGCCAGUCAGAUGUGCACUUUUGGAAAUUUGAACCAAAAAAAAAAAAAAAGUCAGAUGGUAUAGACAGAAGGCAGGCAGGUCCUGGAUGGACCAAUGUGUCAGACAAAAUUACACUGAAGAAGAAACUUGGAGAUUGAAGAAAAACCCAAAAUAAGCUUUGGCGUGGAGAAAAAUCCACUCACAGUGGAGGGAAAAAUAAGCUGAUUUUUUAGCAAGAUGAUAGAGGAAGAGAAAGAGCAUCGCUAUGAAAGCAGAGGAGGGCCAGCCCCACAGCUGUCCUGCCCGCCUGCCCAUGGCUCACCAGGCCUGGCCUCGCCCGUGUCUGUCGUUGCAGGCAGCCUGCUACUUGUUCCCUUUGCUGUCAGUUGCCUUACAAGUGGGCAUACGACUUAGUUCUGCCAACCACCUGAGACCAAGGGGAAAGCCAACUUGCUGAGGAUGGCAGAGCAGACAGACGAAAGGAGCCUGAGUCCUCAGUGACAUUGUUGAGCCAUUAUGCCUGUCCCGGGAAUCACCCACUUCUGUUUUCUAAGCAGAUUUCUGCUACUUGCAGCUUAAAGCAUUCCUCACCUCUUCCUAGAACCUCUCUGUCAUCAACUCCUUAGAGCCCUGUGGCUCUUACUAUAGCUCCAGAUAGAAAAUCAACCCAAGUUUAGACAUUGGAAAUCUCGCUCAUAUGGGUAGAAAAUAAAAAUCAGGAUUUGUCACAGCCCACAAAGCAAGUCCAGAUCUUAGUCCCCUCCCCCAUCCUAUAGGACAUAGACAAGAUAAAAUGAAAUGUUCAGCAAGGUUCCAAAAAUUCAGCAUGUCUUCUAAAAUGGAGCUGAGUGAUAAAUUUUAGGAAGAAGCUCAGUGGGGGUUGUAAGGCCUGAGAUGCGGCGCUUCAGCCAGGAAGCCAUGGAGGCUUGUGGGAGCAAGCGGCAGGUUGGGAUGGGCAGCUGGUAGUUGGGGCGGACAAGUUCUGGAGAAAGAGACCAGUACCCACAGCUGGGUUUUGUGAGUUCCAUGUACCAACUGGAAGGAGUUUAUGGCAGGAACUAAACUGGUGGAAAACUAGACCUUUUGGUUACUCUCCAGUCAACCUUAGUGACAUUUCAGAUCCUCUUACGAAUAAAGUGGCCUGAACUGUGGCCCUCUGUUGCCAGUCCCUGUGCACCGGCACUCCCCAUUUUGCCAUUCCUCAUCUCCCCACCUCUCCUCUUUUUUCUCUACUUAUUCCUUCUAGCUUCUCUAAGCAAAGCCAGGAGCCAGCAAUGUACAAGACCUGAGUUGCUUCUCGAUUAGAGAGUUCCUAUAGGGGGAGGCCAAGAUGUAUUUUGGGAGACUUAGAAUGCUGGUCUAAGGAGGAGGAGCGAGGUGGUUGGUAGGAGAAAAGCAGCCAGUUGAUGAGACUGGAGUGAGCUUUCUUCUGGUUCAACUUUCAUAUGUGGAUUUGUGUGUGUGUGUGUGUGUGUGUGUGUGUGUGUGUGUGUGUGUGUGUUUCUUCAACACAGGAAAUGUACCUGAUCCUUCCCUUGGGAAAUGAGAAGAUGAACCAAGAGUUCUAGCCCUUCCCCUUUAAAUCUGUUUUUAAAAACAUAAAACAAAAAUAAACUGGCAUCCUCCUAAUGAGCUUAUAAAUGCAGAUCAUUCCACUCACCGUGUUUCCUAUUUCAGAAUAGUCUUUGGAGAUGUGGCCCUUAGAAGUUUAUCAAAUUUAUGGGGCCAGAUUCUGCCCCCAAGCUCAGCCCUCAAUGCAGUCCUCGUGCACGCUAUAUAUUGUAUGGAGCCCUGGCUCUGAAGGCCAAACCCAGUGCAAUGCUGAUGUUUGCCUGUUUUAUUACCUCACUCAAAAGAAAUGUACUGACUUCCUAGUAGGAUGAACCCGAGCCUAUAAAAGGACUCAGGAAGACAAGUCAUUAGAGACAAAAAGAAAUCCUAUGACAUAAUCAGAGAAAGGAUUGCUUUGGUUGUGGUGAAAAAAGUAAAAAGGCUUAAACCCCUACUUUGAUGGCAUUAAUGCUUUAAUAUGCUGCUUAAUAAAGCCUGAAUUCCCCCAGAAAGUUUCCCUGUGUAUUACCAAGGAUUUUCUGAAGUCCAAUAAGGAAAAGAACUGAAGGCUUUUCCCCAGUCUUCAUCACCGAGGUUUGUCUCCAGUAUGAAUUAGCCUGAUUACUGAAAAAAGCUCUCCCACAGCCUCUACAAUGAGAGCAAUUCUUUCCUGUGAAUUCUCCAGUGAUGAAAAAGUGCUAAGCUAUCCCCAAGUGAUUUUCCACAUUGAUUAUCCUCAUAAUCUUCUCUCCAGAAUGAAUGGCCUAAUGUUCAAUGUACACCACGCUUCCCCUAGAUAGCUUUCCAUAUUCAUUGCAUAGGACCAGUUUAAGUCCCGAAUGAAUUAGCUGGUAUUGUCUAAGGAUGGAGCUCUGAUUCAACCUUCUUCCUCAUCCAUUAUACUCAGAGGGCCCCUCUCUGCUGCAACAUCCCAGAUGUCUAAUUAGCUCUGAGCACCAUCCAAAAGCAUUUUUAUAGCCAUUACGUACAUAUGGUUUUUCUCCAGUGUGAAUUCUCUGACGUUGAAUGAGCUUUACUUUAAGCCCGUGCACAUUUAUGCAUUUGUAGAGUUUCUGCUGCAUGUGAAUUAGCUGACGCUGUGUUGGAAUGCUGACAGUGCCUCCCCGUGCCCUGGGAUUCUCUCCAAGAUGAACGCUACAAUGUUCAAUGGGAUGGGAGCCCCAAGGAAAAUUGUCUGUAUUCACAACAAAGAUGUUCUCUCUAAUAUGAAUACUGUAAUAUCAAAUAAAUUCUAAAUUCUGUACCAA
Microcebus murinus (gray mouse lemur) is the source of this 8148-nucleotide non-coding RNA. NCBI's taxonomy places the organism in Eukaryota, Metazoa, Chordata, Mammalia, Primates, Cheirogaleidae. The record is from RefSeq and is a predicted model, not a curated record.